Molecule: ribosomal RNA, 497 nt
Filed under: uncultured bacterium
Lineage: Bacteria
Description: partial 16S ribosomal RNA
Rfam family: Bacterial small subunit ribosomal RNA
Source: RNAcentral
GAUGAACGCUGGCGGCGUGCCUAAUACAUGCAAGUCGAGCGAACAGAUGCGGAGCUUGCUCCUCUCACGUUAGCGGCGGGCGGGUGUGUAACGCGUGGAUCCCCUCCCUAUCUGUCUGGUAUCACUACGGGAAACCGGAGCUUAUACCGGAUAAUCUCUUGAACCGCAUGGUUCAAUGGUGAAAGACGGUUUUGCGGUCACUUCUAGAUGGAUCUGGGCCGCAUUAGCUAGUUGGUAAGUUAACGGCUUAUCACGGCGACGAUGCGUAGCCGACGUGCGAGGGGGAUAGCCCACACUGGAACUGGACCGGGGUCCAGACGCCUACGGGAGGCACCAGAAGGCAAUCGUCGGCAAUGGUCGGAAGCCUUACGCAGCGGGGGCGCGUGAGAGAUGAAGAUCCUCGGUUCGUAAAACUCUGUUAUUAGGUAAAAACAACUGAGGAAGGUGAUAUGCACGUAUUGACGGUACCUAAUCAGAAAGCAACGGCUAACUACGUG